UAAAAUGUUCAUUUUGAGGGCUUUCUGUU
Molecule: non-coding RNA, 29 nt
Filed under: Mus musculus (house mouse)
Lineage: Eukaryota; Metazoa; Chordata; Mammalia; Rodentia; Muridae
Source: RNAcentral